This 250-nucleotide ribosomal RNA is filed under the name uncultured prokaryote. RNAcentral's name for it is "partial 16S ribosomal RNA". It matches the Rfam family "Bacterial small subunit ribosomal RNA", at positions 524 to 773 of the family's 1533-position model. The record is from RNAcentral.
UACAGAGGUCGCAAGCGUUGUUCGGAUUUACUGGGCGUAAAGGGCGCGUAGGCGGUUUGGUGUGUCGAGUGUGAAAUCUCCGGGCUCAACCCGGAAAGUGCGCUCGAAACUGCCGGACUGGAGGCCGGGAGAGGGAAUCGGAAUGCAGGGUGUAGCGGUGAAAUGCGUUGAUAUCCUGCAGAACACCGGAGGCGAAGGCGGAUUCCUGGAACGGCACUGACGCUGAGGCGCGAAAGUCGGGGGAGCAAAC